Long non-coding RNA from Drosophila miranda, 814 nucleotides. RefSeq lists it as uncharacterized. The transcript is spliced from 3 exons. The record is from RefSeq and is a predicted model, not a curated record. NCBI's taxonomy places the organism in Eukaryota, Metazoa, Arthropoda, Insecta, Diptera, Drosophilidae.
AUAUGUACUUCUUUGUACACAAAGUGUUUAAUCUUUUGCUAUAAAAACAUUAUCAUACAACUAUAAAGGACUAACUCGUAACCAAUACUAAUAGAUGUCAUAGACAAACGCCUAGUAACUUAUUUUUUCACCUAUAAUAUCAAUCUUUGAAAAAAAUGGCGGAUAGCGAUGAUGAUAGUGUAGCGUCCUUUAAGACGGCUGAGGAGAUCAGCCCGUCGCGUGGGAAAACAAUUUUUCCUCUAAUGAGCCACGAGUUGAGCUCGCUGGAAAGGAAGCUUAAUCGAAUCGUAUACAUACAGCAUGCAGGCAGACGCGGCUUAUCACAAAGCACUUAACGAUAUGCGAGAUCAGUUGAGCAUAUCAGUGAUUGCGGAGCCUAGUUUAUAUGGACGCCACAGACCCGUAGCGGUGCUAGUGGUGGCCACGGCCAAUCAGACAUAUGUGUUCGAUAUCCAGGCACUGGCGCCUUUUUUCCCGAGUUGAAAAAGCUGCUGGAGGCUAAAUAUCCGAGAAAAGUGGUGCACUAUAGUCAUCGUAUUACCGAUCAGCUGUUCUAUAAGCACCAAAUUAAACUGACUGGAUUGAGCGACACAUUUGUGGCUCUGUGCGUAGCCCGGCAAGAUAAAAGUGCCUGCUCAUUGCCAGAAGCGAUUUCGUCAGUGCUUAAUAUUCCCCUAAGGGAACUGCUCUGCGACGAGGUCACCGGGGUAAGUGAGUCUCGCCAACUUUUCACAGCACGCCCGUUGAGCGGGGACCAGUUUUCGUUUUCUGGCCAGGAUGGCCAUACUGCAGCACCAAAUGCACGACCGGCUGA